This 305-nucleotide ribosomal RNA is filed under the name uncultured bacterium. RNAcentral describes it as "bacterial SSU rRNA". It matches the Rfam family "Bacterial small subunit ribosomal RNA", at positions 334 to 656 of the family's 1533-position model. The record is from RNAcentral.
GUGACUUACGGGACGCAGCAGUGGGGAAUAUUGCACAAUGGGGGGAACCCUGAUGCAGCGACGCCGCGUGAGUGAAGAAGUAUUUCGGUAUGUAAAGCUCUAUCAGCAGGGAAGAAAAUGACGGUACCUGACUAAGAAGCCCCGGCUAACUACGUGCCAGCAGCCGCGGUAAUACGUAGGGGGCAAGCGUUAUCCGGAUUUACUGGGUGUAAAGGGAGCGUAGACGGCAUAGCAAGUCUGAUGUGAAAGAUCGGGGCUCAACCCCGGGCUUGCAUUGGAAACUGUUAAGCUGGAGUACAGGAGAG